Molecule: transfer RNA, 73 nt
Filed under: Acidimicrobiales bacterium
Lineage: Bacteria; Bacillati; Actinomycetota; Acidimicrobiia; Acidimicrobiales
Description: tRNA-Glu
Rfam family: tRNA
About the family: Transfer RNA (tRNA) molecules are approximately 80 nucleotides in length. Their secondary structure includes four short double-helical elements and three loops (D, anti-codon, and T loops).
Source: RNAcentral
UCCCCGUUAGUCUAGAUGGUCAGGAUAGGCGGCUCUCACCCGCCAGACCCGGGUUCGAUUCCCGGACGGGGAA